Molecule: non-coding RNA, 21 nt
Organism: Caenorhabditis elegans
Lineage: Eukaryota; Metazoa; Nematoda; Chromadorea; Rhabditida; Rhabditidae
Source: Ensembl
UAAUUCGUCGAAAACUUUGGC